GACGAACGCUGGCGGCGUGCUUAACACAUGCAAGUCGAACGGAAAGGCCCUGCUUGCAGGGUACUCGAGUGGCGAACGGGUGAGUAACACGUGGGUGAUCUGCCCUGCACUUCGGGAUAAGCCAGGGAAACUGGGUCUAAUACCGGAUAGGAGCCAUUUUUAGUGUGAUGGUUGGAAAGUUUUUUCGGUGUAGGAUGAGCUCGCGGCCUAUCAGCUUGUUGGUGGGGUAAUGGCCUACCAAGGCGGCGACGGGUAGCCGGCCUGAGAGGGUGGACGGCGACAGUGGGACUGAGGUACGGCCCAGACACCGACGCGAGGCAGCAGGGGGGAAUAUUGCACAAGGAGCGCAGGCCGGAUGCAGCAACGCCGCGUGGGGUAUGACGCCCUUCGGGUUGUAAACUCCAUUCGCUAGGGACGAAGCUUUUUGUGACGGUACCUAGAGAAGAAGCACCGGCUAACUACGUG
RNAcentral lists this ribosomal RNA (465 nucleotides) under uncultured bacterium. RNAcentral describes it as "partial 16S ribosomal RNA". It matches the Rfam family "Bacterial small subunit ribosomal RNA", at positions 28 to 507 of the family's 1533-position model. The record is from RNAcentral.